UAAACAUUCCAUUGGAAAAAACUAAACAAUUUGUUAUAAAACAUCCUUAAAAGCAUCAGAAAGUUAAUACAGCAACAAAGAAUUACAGGACCAAAUUAAGAAUGGUAUGGAAGCCUGUUUGUGGGGCUUAUGUUUGGGUUAUCUCUUUACUUAGAGUGACUAUAAAUCUCAAAAGAGAACUAAAGGGAUAAAUAACCAUAUGUACUAACAUGGUCUGCCAGCAACAACUUCAGUUAAUAUUUCUGUUUAUCUGGGUGCUGUCAUCUAUAUGAUCUCAGUAUUUUAAAAAUCAGCUUCCAGCCCAUAUGGUGGCUCAUGCUUGUAAUACCAGCAGUUGAAGAGGCUGAAAUGAGAGGAUUCCUUGAGCCCAGGAGUUCAAGGAGUUCAAGAGAAACCUGGGCAACAUGGCAAGACCCAGUCUCUAUCAAAAGUUAAAAAAAAAAGGUGGGCAUAGUGAUGUGCACCUGUUGUCCUAGCAAUUUGGGAGGCCAAGGUGGAAGGAUUGCUUGAGCUUGGGAGGUUGAAUCUACAGUGAGCAGUGAUUGCACCACUGCACCCCAGCCUGGGCAACAAAGCAAGACCCUAUCUCAAAAAAUAUAUAUAAUAAAAAUAAAAAUCAGCUCUUAUUGAUUUCUACAUAAAUAUGCACAGGUGAUGUCCAUGUAGACAUAAAUACUAAUAUAUCUGACAAUGGGUCCAUAUGAUCUUCAAAAUGUAAAAUGCCUAUCUGUGUAAUUGACUGCUUAGUCUCAUUAAUGUAUAUAGAUUCAAUUCUACUUUCUUGUUCUAGAUAAAUUAUAUAAUCUAGCUUUUCAUUUCACUUAUUUACUGAUAACAACAGGAAGAAUGACAAGAUAUCUACUCUGGAAAAUUACUCUGGUAGGAGUAAAGAUGAAACGAUAGAAUUGCAUGGAAAACUAGAAAAAAGUAUGGUCUUCUGAUAUUCUAUCACAUCAUAUACAAAAGGCCUCAUAAAACUCAGAUAUUUUAUCUAAAAAUGUUAUUUUCAUCUUAGGGAUGAUCAAAGCAUGAGACUAGAAUUGUAUUACAAUGACUCUCACAAGCACAUGUGCUAAAAAGGAGGGGAAAACAUCAUUACUGAUAUUUUAUACGUAUGUUUUACUUUCCAUCAACAUGAACCUCAACUUGAUAUGAUGCAGAUUGAAGGAAAUCACCCAUAAUUCCAUAUGAAGAAGGCCUGUGAUAUUUUAUGGGAAAAUAGAUAGAGAAAAUGCUAACAGAAACCCUAUUAAGCAUUAAGAUUUAUGGAGCAAAUACAAAUCCAGUGGUGAAAGAUACACACUUGAGUUCUGUUUGUUGUCUUGGAACAAUAUGGUUUAGAGGUGACUGGUGG
RNAcentral lists this long non-coding RNA (1354 nucleotides) under Homo sapiens (human). Its description in RNAcentral is "HSALNT0238754". Lineage: Eukaryota; Metazoa; Chordata; Mammalia; Primates; Hominidae. The record is from RNAcentral.